RNAcentral lists this ribosomal RNA (350 nucleotides) under uncultured bacterium. RNAcentral's name for it is "bacterial SSU rRNA". It matches the Rfam family "Bacterial small subunit ribosomal RNA", at positions 999 to 1349 of the family's 1533-position model. The record is from RNAcentral.
UUAAGAGAUUAAAGUUUUCGGUUCGGCCGGACGAAACACAGGUGCUGCAUGGCUGUCGUCAGCUCGUGUCGUGAGAUGUUGGGUUAAAUCCCGCAACGAGCGCAACCCUCACUUUUAGUUGCCAUCGUUUAGUUGGGCACUCUGAAAGAACUGCCAGUGAUAAGCUGGAGGAAGGUGGGGAUGACGUCAAGUCCUCAUGGCCCUUACGUGUUGGGCUACACACGUGCUACAAUGGCAUUUACAACAGGAAGCAAGACGGCGACGUUAAGCAAAUCCUAAAAAAAUGCCUCAGUUCGGAUUGUACUCUGCAACUCGAGUACAUGAAGCUGGAAUUACUAGUAAUCGCGGAU